GAUGAAGAACGUAGCGAAAUGCGAUAAGUAAUGUGGAUUGCAGAAUUCAGUGAAUCAUCGAAUCUUUGAACGCACAUUGCGCCCGCCAGUAUUCUGGCGGGCAUGCCUGUUCGAGCGUCAUUUCAACCAUCAAGCCCCCGGCUUGUGUUGGGGACCUGCGGCUGCCGCAGGCCCUGAAAACCAGUGGCGGGCUCGCUAGUCACUCCGAGCGUAGUAAUACAUCUCGCUCAGGGCGUGCUGCGGGUUCCGGCCGUUAAAAAGCCUUAUUUACCCAAGGUUGACCUCGGAUCAGGUAGGAAGACCCGCUGAACUUAAGCAUAUCAAUAAGCGGAGGA
Molecule: unclassified non-coding RNA, 335 nt
Filed under: soil metagenome
Description: partial contains 5.8S ribosomal RNA, internal transcribed spacer 2, and large subunit ribosomal RNA
Rfam family: 5.8S ribosomal RNA (bases 1-120)
Source: RNAcentral